Syngnathoides biaculeatus (alligator pipefish) is the source of this 838-nucleotide long non-coding RNA. RefSeq lists it as uncharacterized. The transcript has 3 exons. The record is from RefSeq and is a predicted model, not a curated record. Lineage: Eukaryota; Metazoa; Chordata; Actinopteri; Syngnathiformes; Syngnathidae.
CUUCACAGGACACAGGUUUAAAAAAAUUAUAAUAAGGAGCAGCAGGAAAAGAGUAAUGAAUGGAAAAAAAUGCUCCGUAAAACGUUGGUUCCUUUACUUACCCACUGAUGACAGACAAGGUUUCUUGCCGGCGUCUUGCCUUCACCUGACUCUCUUAAUCAACAAGGCAGCUGCGGUCCCGACUUAACCACUUACCGUCGCCCCUCCCCUCCCCAUCCUGCCUGCACUUCCAUAAUCGCACGCGAGCUGCCAUGACAGGCAUGCAGAUGAUCCUCGACAAGAGAAUGAAAGGGUGAAAAGCGGGAUGAAGGAGCUGACCCUGUCCCAGAUACAAUCACACCAGGCCCUUGACCUCCUUGAUGAAGUCAAGCAGAGAGGAUUAUGGGAGACUUUGAUGAAACCUGCUGAAAGGAAAGUCAUUAUUGUGUUCGUGCACACUCACACGAUCAAAGCAACAACGUCAAUGCUUCUUCAAGGUUGGAAAGAAACAUCAAGUGCUCCUCAUGCAUCACGCCCUGUUCGUGAAAUACGGCGCAAACGGACAGGACGUGGUUUAAAGAUGGGACAGAAACCGACACAACACACGCAGAGACCUUCUAGGGGAGCACUGCCACAAUAACAGCAGCGGGUGUUGAAAACAUCCAUAGAAACAAAACGCAAAGUCAGGAAACAAACAAACUGGUUCGAACCUGGUUGAAGAACCUUGAGAUGAAAGAUAAUCCUGUAUACUUUAGUGUUUAUUAUCCCUAGCUUAGCGACAUCUACGGCUGGUAUUAGCUAGGACGCCACCAGGUGGAAUUUCCUCAGCACAUCUUGGUUAUUUCCGAUAGCCGUUUUU